UACGUAGGGGGCAAGCGUUGUCCGGAAUCAUUGGGCGUAAAGAGCGUGUAGGCGGCCCGGUAAGUCCGCUGUGAAAGUCCAGGGCUCAACCCUGGGAUGCCGGUGGAUACUGUCGGGCUCGAGUCCGGAAGGGGCCCACGGAAUUCCUGGUGUAGCGGUGAAAUGCGCAGAUAUCAGGAGGAACACCUGUGGCGAAAGCGGCUCACUGGACCAUUACUGACGCUGAGGCUCGAAAGCUAGGGGAGCAAACAGG
Molecule: ribosomal RNA, 253 nt
Filed under: uncultured bacterium
Lineage: Bacteria
Description: partial 16S ribosomal RNA
Rfam family: Bacterial small subunit ribosomal RNA
Source: RNAcentral